GGAUCCAGACUUUGAUUAUGGCUCAGGAUGAACGCUGGCGGCGUGCCUAACACAUGCAAGUCGAACGGAGCUGCUUUGAUGAAGUUUUCGGAUGGAUUUAAAACAGCUUAGUGGCGGACGGGUGAGUAACGCGUGGGUAACCUGCCUCACACUGGGGGAUAACAGUUAGAAAUAGCUGCUAAUACCGCAUAAGCGCACGGUUCCGCAUGGAACAGUGUGAAAAACUCCGGUGGUGUGAGAUGGACCCGCGUCUGAUUAGCCAGUUGGCGGGGUAACGGCCCACCAAAGCGACGAUCAGUAGCCGGCCUGAGAGGGUGAACGGCCACAUUGGGACUGAGACACGGCCCAAACUCCUACGGGAGGCAGCAGUGGGGAAUAUUGCACAAUGGGGGAAACCCUGAUGCAGCGACGCCGCGUGAGUGAAGAAGUAUUUCGGUAUGUAAAGCUCUAUCAGCAGGGAAGAAAGUGACGGUACCUGAAUAAGGAGCCCCGGCUAACUACGUGCCAGCAGCCGCGGUAAUACGUAGGGGGCAAGCGUUAUCCGGAUUUACUGGGUGUAAAGGGAGCGUAGACGGCAAGGCAAGUCUGAAGUGAAAGCCCGGUGCUUAACGCCGGGACUGCUUUGGAAACUGUUUGGCUGGAGUGCCGGAGAGGUAAGCGGAAUUCCUAGUGUAGCGGUGAAAUGCGUAGAUAUUAGGAAGAACACCAGUGGCGAAGGCGGCUUACUGGACGGUAACUGACGUUGAGGCUCGAAAGCGUGGGGAGCAAACAGGAUUAGAUACCCUGGUAGUCCACGCCGUAAACGAUGAUUGCUAGGUGUAGGUGGGUAUGGACCCAUCGGUGCCGCAGCUAACGCAAUAGGCAAUCCACCUGGGGAGUACGUUCGCAAGAAUGCAACUCAAAGGAAUUGACGG
This 914-nucleotide ribosomal RNA is filed under the name uncultured Bacillota bacterium. RNAcentral's name for it is "bacterial SSU rRNA". It matches the Rfam family "Bacterial small subunit ribosomal RNA", at positions 1 to 916 of the family's 1533-position model. The record is from RNAcentral. Lineage: Bacteria; Bacillati; Bacillota.